CAAAUCCGCCUGCGCCUCACCCAACACGUACAUGGAAGAGUCGGCGCAUGGGUUUUCGUUUAUGUGCGCUUAUAAUCCGUUGCAGCGCAGUGGGAAGUCGAAAGUAAAAAAAGAAGUCUACCUCACUCCACCUGCUCAAGUUGUGCGGUGCCCGAUCGAUCCUACGUGAACCGUUCAGGAAUCAUAAGCUAGUCCGCUGCUGCAACUGCCUCCAUCGACUGUCUAUGGAUGCAGCAGUGUGUCAGCAGAAGAGCACGGUGUUGACCAUUGCACGACUCUCUCACGGGCACGCACACGCAUCCAGACAUCUUGAGACCUAUUGAAGGUUUGGUGUAUGUUUGCAAUUCUUCGAUGCUUUUCCGAUCGCGUCGAAGCACCGCAAGUGCUGGUGGGCUGAGCCCGCGCCACGUCGUCUCUCCCUCCUAUGAGCGACCCAGCUCGGCCCCGGUGGCUGGGGUGGUUCCGCUCAACCCGAGUACAAGCGUCCCUAUUCUUCCCAUCAGCGGCUCAGUCGGCGGACUGCACAGCGUGGAGGAUCGUCUGCGCAUUGUGAAGCGUAACCGCACCCGUGAUGAUGAUUUAACGCGCACACCACCGUCGCCGCGUUUGCAGGAGGCGCUUGCCAUCACCUCAGACCCCUCCUAUCCAGAGGUAAAUGCCUCUCCCUCGGUGACUGCCGGCACGGCACCUCCCUGCGCCGCGUACCCGACCUUCAGCAUGGCCCGCCUACCCAAGCAUGAGCAGCACGUGAUGGACGCGAUGGUGCGUGAGUUCACCGAAGUCUUGUUCUUUGCGAAAUCGUGAGCAAGCGGAAGGCAGAUCAUCGGUAGGAAGAAAGCGCGACGCCAGCGCACACGUAGGAGACGACGCGGAAAAGCGUGACACCUCUGGUUUGGGCUCGACUGCCGACGUGUUGUGCCGCGAUUCGAUCCACCGCUCCCCCACCACUGCUCCUCUCAGCACUGUUUCUCCUCCUUCAUGGCCGCCACAACUCUGUACUAGUGGUCACCCCCUCCACAAGAACG
This 1025-nucleotide unclassified non-coding RNA is filed under the name Leishmania donovani. RNAcentral's name for it is "gene:LdHU3.36.8890(CDS-product:hypothetical_prote in)". The record is from RNAcentral. Lineage: Eukaryota; Euglenozoa; Kinetoplastea; Trypanosomatida; Trypanosomatidae.